AGUCCUGUAGCUCAGUGGUUAGAGCACUCGCUUUACAAGCGAGACCUGGGUUUGAUUCCCAGUAGGGUGA
This is a non-coding RNA of Callorhinchus milii (elephant shark), 70 nucleotides long. The record is from the annotation of a RefSeq genome assembly. Lineage: Eukaryota; Metazoa; Chordata; Chondrichthyes; Chimaeriformes; Callorhinchidae.